AUUGAACGCUGGCGGCAGGCUUAACACAUGCAAGUCGAGCGGAGAGAGGUAGCUUGCUACUGAUCUUAGCGGCGGACGGGUGAGUAAUGCUUAGGAAUCUGCCUAUUAGUGGGGGACAACAUUUCGAAAGGAAUGCUAAUACCGCAUACGUCCUACGGGAGAAAGCAGGGGAUCUUCGGACCUUGCGCUAAUAGAUGAGCCUAAGUCGGGUUAGCUAGUUGGUGGGGUAAAGGCCUACCAAGGCGACGAUCUGUAGCGGGUCUGAGAGGAUGAUCCGCCACACUGGGACUGAGACACGGCCCAGACUCCUACGGGAGGAAGCAGUGGGGAAUAUUGGACAAUGGGCGCAAGCCUGAUCCAGCCAUGCCGCGUGUGUGAAGAAGGCCUUAUGGUUGUAAAGCACUUUAAGCGAGGAGGAGGCUACUUUAGUUAAUACCUAGAGAUAGUGGACGUUACUCGCAGAAUAAGCACCGGCUAACUCUGUGCCAGCCGCCGCCGUAA
RNAcentral lists this ribosomal RNA (501 nucleotides) under uncultured bacterium. Its description in RNAcentral is "partial 16S ribosomal RNA". It matches the Rfam family "Bacterial small subunit ribosomal RNA", at positions 30 to 523 of the family's 1533-position model. The record is from RNAcentral.